This 594-nucleotide ribosomal RNA is filed under the name Morchella rufobrunnea (woodchip morel). Its description in RNAcentral is "eukaryotic LSU rRNA". It matches the Rfam family "Eukaryotic large subunit ribosomal RNA", at positions 50 to 654 of the family's 3401-position model. The record is from RNAcentral. Lineage: Eukaryota; Fungi; Ascomycota; Pezizomycetes; Pezizales; Morchellaceae.
GCGGAGGAAAAGAAACCAACAGGGAUUGCCUCAGUAACGGCGAGUGAAGCGGCAAAAGCUCAAAUUUUAAAGCUGGCACCUUCGGUGUCCGCGUUGUAAUUUUGUGAGGCAUCUCCGGGCAGGGCGCCGGCCUAAGUUCCUUGGAACAGGACGUCACAGAGGGUGAGAAUCCCGUGCUUGGCUGGCUGUCCCCGUCCACGUGAGGUGUCUUCGACGAGUCGAGUUGUUUGGGAAUGCAGCUCAAAAUGGGUGGUAAAUUUCAUCUAAAGCUAAAUAUUGGUGGGAGACCGAUAGCGCACAAGUAGAGUGAUCGAAAGAUGAAAAGCACUUUGAAAAUAGAGUUAAAAAGUACGUGAAAUUGUUGAAAGGGAAGCGCUUGAGACCAGACUUCGGUAGGGGGUGAUCAGCCGUCCUUCUGGGCGGUGCACUUGCCCCCCUCCGGGCCAGCAUCGGUUGGGGCGGCGGGAUAAAGGUCCCGGGAAUGUGGCUCCUCUCGGGGAGUGUUAUAGCCCGGGUGAAUGCCGCCAGCCUCGACCGAGGACCGCGCCCGCAAGGGUCAGGAUGCUUGGCAUAAUGGUCUUCAGCGACCCGUCU